Molecule: transfer RNA, 72 nt
Filed under: Secundilactobacillus kimchicus
Lineage: Bacteria; Bacillati; Bacillota; Bacilli; Lactobacillales; Lactobacillaceae
Description: tRNA-Ile
Rfam family: tRNA
About the family: Transfer RNA (tRNA) molecules are approximately 80 nucleotides in length. Their secondary structure includes four short double-helical elements and three loops (D, anti-codon, and T loops).
Source: RNAcentral
AGUGGUGUAGCACAACGGCUAGUGCGGGCAACUUAUAAUUGUCUGACGAUGGUUCGACUCCAUCCACUACUA